GUGCCAAUCACAUCUUCUUUGCUUCCAAGCUUUGGGAAAUUGCAGAUCUGCUGGAGCCUCUGAUUCAUUUUCCAUGGGAUGUGAUUGUUCUGAAAUUCCAAUUUCUCUCACGAUUCUCUUCAAAUCGUCAAAGUAAACUGAUUUCCCAUCUUUCAUGUCAAUAAAAAAUGAAAGCUUGACUUCCAGAGUUUUGGAACGCCUUAAAAUUCAGCUCUCUCAAUGAGUGUCCAGUAGUGAUGAACUGAAUCUGCCACUAGAUGUCACCGAGUUUUCAAACAAAUGGCUUUAAAGAACAUUUCAAGGAAAGUUGGCUUGAGACCUAAGAUGUCUGUGCUGUUUUCCGUGGCAUCCAUAGAGUAGGUAAUGUAGUGAUCAUUCAUCUUAGCACAUUUGCUGUAUUUA
This 402-nucleotide long non-coding RNA is filed under the name Cavia porcellus (domestic guinea pig). RNAcentral describes it as "lncRNA (ENSCPOG00000035008.1)". The record is from RNAcentral. Lineage: Eukaryota; Metazoa; Chordata; Mammalia; Rodentia; Caviidae.